Molecule: long non-coding RNA, 155 nt
Organism: Gadus macrocephalus (Pacific cod)
Lineage: Eukaryota; Metazoa; Chordata; Actinopteri; Gadiformes; Gadidae
Exons: 2
Source: RefSeq, a predicted model, not a curated record
GAAUGAUCCUGUCACUUUACUGCCACACAUUGUGUGUGUCAGUAAAGUGAUGAGGUAGGAGAAUCCGUGUAUGGAUUGUUUUUUGGUUUUUCAGAUUUGGUUUUGAAACUGAAAAAGGGCAAAAGGAAUAAACAAAUAAACGGCAUUUGAUUUUG